Non-coding RNA from Acanthosepion pharaonis, 112 nucleotides. NCBI's taxonomy places the organism in Eukaryota, Metazoa, Mollusca, Cephalopoda, Sepiida, Sepiidae. The record is from the annotation of a GenBank genome assembly.
UUACGACUAUAUCACGAUGAAACACGGGUUCCCAUACGAACACAGAAGUUAAGCAACGUCGAGCCUGGUUAGUAUCUAGAUGGGUGAUCGCUUGGGAAUUCCACGAGCAGUA